GAAACACGGACCAAGGAGUUCAACUGAAUUACAAGUCGUAGAGUAUUGACAACACUCAUAUACGGCAAAGCGAAAGCAACUUACAUAAAAUACGUAUGAUAUAUGCUAUACGCAUAUUGCAAUACAAUUACAUUAUGUACAUGCGUACUGUGUACUACAGUGCGUAUGCGUAUAUACUCUAUACGAAUAAUGUAAAUUAUAAAGAGUAUUUUAGUUGAGACCCGAAAGAUGGUGAACUAUGCUCGGACAUGGUGAAGCCAGGAGAAAUCUUGGUGGAAGCUUGCGUUGUGCGGAACUGACGUGCAAAUCGUUACCGCCUGACCUGAGUAUAGGGGCGAAAGACUCAUCGAACCAUCUAGUAGCUGGUUCCCUCCGAAGUUUCCCUUAGGAUAGCUCGAAUUAUUAUUUAUGAGUAACACAAUUAUACAAAGGGUAAAGCAAUGAGACGCGGUAUCUGUGGGUCUUAUUUAUUUAAAUGACCUCGGCCUUCUCUCAAACUUUAAAUCUGUGCGUAAUAUACGUAGUACCAUUAUACGUACCGUAUAUCAAAUAUAAUAUCAAUUAAUUCGUAGUGGGCCAUUUCUGGUAAGCAGAACUGGCGAUGAGGGAUUCAACCUGACGUUUUAAAGAUAAGCCGGGCUUAAUCUUAUCUGUUCCAACCUUCCGAUAAACGCGA
Molecule: ribosomal RNA, 676 nt
Filed under: Cribrorotalia sp. 17613
Lineage: Eukaryota; Foraminifera; Rotaliida; Notorotaliidae
Description: eukaryotic LSU rRNA
Rfam family: Eukaryotic large subunit ribosomal RNA
Source: RNAcentral